CGCAAUCUCUGUCUUCACGUCAAGAAUCAUCUUUGUAGCCCCUCGCUCGUCCGGUGCCUGUUGAAUAUAAGACAUUAAAACACGUUCUGAGAUAUGAGAGUAGGAGGUUCGGAACGUCAGGUCCAGAAGAAAGGGAGAUUGUUGAACAUAGAUUUUAUUUAACAGCACCUUCUGCCCCUGUAAGAAGAAAUUCUUUGCCUCUGCGCAGGUGUCACCGAACCGGAUCUGCCCGAUGCCCGCCGUCAGCAUGUAUGGCCGCAUGACGAGCAGGAACAGCAUGUAGUUCGAUAUCGCCCGGCUUGUCGCGGGCAAGUGCGAGAGGCUGCUGGC
RNAcentral lists this long non-coding RNA (330 nucleotides) under Ananas comosus (pineapple). RNAcentral's name for it is "long non-coding RNA (ACOM_LNC020173)". The record is from RNAcentral. Lineage: Eukaryota; Viridiplantae; Streptophyta; Magnoliopsida; Poales; Bromeliaceae.